GGUUGGGCAUAUGCUUCAAGGUUUUUCUCCUGAGGGUAAGGGAGAA
RNAcentral lists this non-coding RNA (46 nucleotides) under Enterococcus italicus DSM 15952. The record is from RNAcentral. Lineage: Bacteria; Bacillati; Bacillota; Bacilli; Lactobacillales; Enterococcaceae.